RNAcentral lists this ribosomal RNA (391 nucleotides) under Chrysophyceae sp. Its description in RNAcentral is "partial small subunit ribosomal RNA". It matches the Rfam family "Eukaryotic small subunit ribosomal RNA", at positions 582 to 975 of the family's 1831-position model. The record is from RNAcentral. Lineage: Eukaryota; Chrysophyceae.
AUUCCAGCUCCAAUAGCGUAUAUUAAAGUUGUUGCAGUUAAAACGCUCGUAGUCGGAUUUCGGGGCGGGCCGACCGGUCUGCCUCAAAAGAGGUACGCGCCAUCUAUCCGAGUCCAUCCUCGGGGAAAACAUGUGUGUGAUUCAGUUCAUGUGCAUGGGAUCCUCGUCAUUUACUGUGAGCAAAAUAGAGUGUUCAAAGCAGGCUUAUGCCGUUGAAUAUUUUAGCAUGGAAUAAUAAGAUAAGACCUUGGUCUAUUUUGUUGGUUUGUACUCCAAGGUAAUGAUUAAUAGGGACAGUUGGGGGUAUUCGUAUUCAAUUGUCAGAGGUGAAAUUCUUGGAUUUAUUGAAGACGAACUACUGCGAAAGCAUUUACCAAGGAUGUUUUCAUUA